Molecule: ribosomal RNA, 467 nt
Filed under: uncultured bacterium
Lineage: Bacteria
Description: partial 16S ribosomal RNA
Rfam family: Bacterial small subunit ribosomal RNA
Source: RNAcentral
GACGAACGCUGGCGGCGUGCUUAACACAUGCAAGUCGAACGGAAAGGCCUCUUUCGGGGGGUACUCGAGUGGCGAACGGGUGAGUAACACGUGAGUAACCUGCCCUUGACUUUGGGAUAACUUCAGGAAACUGGGGCUAAUACCGGAUAGGAGCUCCUGCUGCAUGGUGGGGGUUGGAAAGUUUCGGCGGUUGGGGAUGGACUCGCGGCUUAUCAGCUUGUUGGUGGGGUAGUGGCUUACCAAGGCUUAGACGGGUAGCCGGCCUGAGAGGGUGACCGGCCACAUUGGGACUGAGAUACGGCCCAGACUCCUACGGGAGGCAGCAGUGGGGAAUAUUGCACAAUGGGUGGAAGCCUGAUGCAGCAACGCCGGGUGCGGGAUGACGGCCUUCGGGUUGUAAACCGCUUUCGCUCAUGACGAAGCUUUGUGUGACGGUAGUGGGUAAAGAAGCACCGGCUAACUACGUG